AUGCUUGAUUUCCAUGAUGUUCUUGAGGUUUGUGGUCUGGGCGACCUUGGUUUUGCAGGUCUGCCAUACACCUUUGAUAACCGGCGAGGUGGACGAGCAAAUGUCAAGGUUCGCCUUGACCGUGCUGUGGCUAAUAAUGCUUGGAGGGAUAUUUUCGCCCAUGCAAGGGUGGAGCAUUUGGUGGCGCCAAGCUCCGAUCACUUGGCCAUCCUCCUCAAGUGCGCGCUAGAGGAGCCGCGCAAACGGGAAGGCAGAAGGUGCAGACAGUACGAAGUUAUGUGGGAACGAGACCCCUCCCUCCCUGAGGUAAUUAUGAACACUUGGACUGAGUUGGGCUCUAUGUUAAAUCUUGGUGAUGUUGCUUCUGGACUAGGGAAUAUGAUGAAAAAACUGCAAGAGUGGAGUCGAAAAAAGUUUGGAAAUGUCAUCCGUGAAAUUAACAAGUCCCGCUCUUGUCUCGAGGAGCUUAUGUCUAUGAAUGCAGAUAGAAAGGACAUACGAGAGGCGACUAACAAG
Molecule: ribosomal RNA, 516 nt
Filed under: Triticum aestivum (bread wheat)
Lineage: Eukaryota; Viridiplantae; Streptophyta; Magnoliopsida; Poales; Poaceae
Description: partial small subunit ribosomal RNA
Source: RNAcentral